Molecule: ribosomal RNA, 497 nt
Filed under: uncultured bacterium
Lineage: Bacteria
Description: partial 16S ribosomal RNA
Rfam family: Bacterial small subunit ribosomal RNA
Source: RNAcentral
GAUGAACGCUGGCGGCGUGCCUAAUACAUGCAAGUCGAGCGAACAGAUGAGGAGCUUGCUCCUCUGACGUUAGCGGCGGACGGGUGAGUAACACGUGGAUAACCUACCUAUAAGACUGGGAUAACUACGGGAAACCGGAGCUAAUACCGGAUAAUAUAUUGAACCGCAUGGUUCAAUAGUGAAAGACGGUUUUGCUGUCACUUAUAGAUGGAUCCGCGCCGCAUUAGCUAGUUGGUAAGGUAAUGGCUUACCAAGGCAACGAUGCGUAGCCGACCUGAGAGGGUGAUCGGCCACACUGGAACUGAGACACGGUCCAGACUCCUACGGGAGGCAGCAGUAGGGAAUCUUCCGCAAUGGGCGAAAGCCUGACGGAGCAACGCCGCGUGAGUGAUGAAGGUCUUCGGAUCGUAAAACUCUGUUAUUAGGGAAGAACAAAUGUGUAAGUAACUAUGCACGUCUUGACGGUACCUAAUCAGAAAGCCACGGCUAACUACGUG